GAAAUGCGAUAAGUAAUGUGAAUUGCAGAAUUCAGUGAAUCAUCGAAUCUUUGAACGCACCUUGCGCCCUUUGGUAUUCCGAAGGGCAUGCCUGUUUGAGUGUCAUUAAAUUAUCAACCUUGCUCGCUUUUACCGGCUUGAGCUGAGGCUUGGACGUGGGGGUUUUUGCUGGCUUCCUUCAGUGGAUGGUCUGCUCCCCUUAAAUUCAUUAGCGGGAUCUCUUGUGGACCGUCACUUGGUGUGAUAAUUAUCUAUGCCGUUUGACCUUGAAGCAAAUUUAUGGGACCCUGCUUAUAACCGUCUCUUACCGGGACAAUUUAAUAACAUCUUGACCUCAAAUCAGGUAGGACUACCCGCUGAACUUAA
This 366-nucleotide unclassified non-coding RNA is filed under the name uncultured Tricholomataceae. RNAcentral describes it as "sequence contains ITS1". The stretch from base 1 to 105 matches the Rfam family "5.8S ribosomal RNA", at positions 50 to 154 of the family's 154-position model. Lineage: Eukaryota; Fungi; Basidiomycota; Agaricomycetes; Agaricales; Tricholomataceae. The record is from RNAcentral.